UUUGGUUCCUUGAGAAAAAGGCUAGCUACCUGGCUGGUCCUAGAUGUAAAGUGGUGGUAGAAUAGAUGCUCCUAUUUGUUCUUUUUUUCUCUAGAAAGUGCUUAAUUAAUCAAAAACAAAAUCCCCCUUUCUUUUUCUUCUAGCUAGUACAUAUUUGCAAUAAGUAUAGAGCUGAAGAUAGUAGAAAUUGUGUAUCAUAACUUGUGAUUUGAGCCCAAAACUUUCCUGAAAAUGAAUGAUCCCAAGAAUGCUUAUCCCUACCCUCCUCAACCUCAAGGGUAUUAUCAAGGUCCACCAGUGAUGGCACCACCUCAAUAUGCUGCUCCACCACCUAGAAAACAAACUGGAUUCCUUGAAGGAUGUCUUGCAGCUCUAUGUUGUUGUUGCCUAUUAGAUGAGUGCUGUUGUGACCCUUCAAUCUUAUGUAUCACCUGAUACAAUAUGAAAGUUCAUGCAGCUACAAAAAUAUAAAUAAAGAAAUUAAUUACCAAAUGAUGCUUCAAGCGAGCUUAAUUCAGUUAUAUGUAUAGUUGAAUAUAUAGUUUUACUUGUUACUUUUAUUUAAAGUUUUUAAUUGUGCUAUGAUCAAUCUUAUUUUCAUUUCCAACUUUGUUGUAAGUUGUUUUAUCUUGUAGACGUGGUUUUACAUAUUUUCUUGUGAUUUAAUAAUAUGUAAUGCAAUGUGGAAAAAUAAACAAUUCUUGAGUAACAUUGGGUCCCCUUUGUUCCCUUGAUCA
This is a long non-coding RNA of Cicer arietinum (chickpea), 737 nucleotides long. RefSeq lists it as uncharacterized. The record is from RefSeq and is a predicted model, not a curated record. NCBI's taxonomy places the organism in Eukaryota, Viridiplantae, Streptophyta, Magnoliopsida, Fabales, Fabaceae.